This 548-nucleotide long non-coding RNA is filed under the name Equus caballus (horse). RNAcentral's name for it is "lncRNA (ENSECAG00000048040.1)". The record is from RNAcentral. Lineage: Eukaryota; Metazoa; Chordata; Mammalia; Perissodactyla; Equidae.
AGGGCACGUUUUGGCCCAGAGGGUAAAGGGAUAGGGAAUGAGGCCGCUGGGAAUAAGCACGAGAGGAAGAGGGAGAGGAGUGCCAUUCCAGAGCAGAAGGGAAAAUGAGACUAGAAAAAGGGAGAAGGGCUGGAAAGAAACAUGUGUGGGAUUCUCAUCUUACCUGGAACUCUAAUAGACACAGAAGAUAAAGGCAGAGAUGCUGUGGUCUCAAGGAGUUGCUCUCCAAAGACACGAUAGCCCAGACCUACAACAGGGCACAUCUGUGUUAAUGAAAUUGCUUUCAAGAUGACCUGAUCUGCCCACAACAUCACUGCUGGAAUAACCUUUCUCCAACUGUGCUUUCACCAUGGCACAUCGACCUUGGUUUUAGACCCUAUAAUGCCUCAUUUUUUUGUUUAUUGCAUAAAGUCCUUGGAACUUCCAAGUCCAGGGAACUUCCUUGCUUAGUUCCCAGGGCUCUGCAAAAUCUAGUUCCAAGGUAGCACUUCUCUGACCUCGCUUCCUACCAACCAGCUUACUAUUUAUUAGUAGUAUAUCUUACUAUU